This 2431-nucleotide long non-coding RNA is filed under the name Canis lupus familiaris (dog). RNAcentral's name for it is "lncRNA (ENSCAFG00000058881.1)". Lineage: Eukaryota; Metazoa; Chordata; Mammalia; Carnivora; Canidae. The record is from RNAcentral.
UUUUUUGUUUGUUGUUUGUUUUUUUGUUUUGUUUUUUUUUAUUGCACCAUGGAUGAAUUUUUCUUCAAAUAUCAAUUUUUUUUUCUGUAUCUCAUCACCCAACAAGAGUGUUGCUUUUUAAAAGAUCAGUAGCUUGGGGCUGAAUUUGUAUUAAAGAUGAAAAAUAUCUCAAAGUAAAUUCAAUUUGUGAAUAUUUUCUUGUCUAUAUAAACUCUGCUUUUCAAUUUAGUGAAACAAAUGCUAAAGUUUUAUGAGAAAACCAAGUUAUGCAUGGCACUUUGUUUUUAGAUAACACAGGUCUUUAAAAUAUCAGUAUUUAUUCUGUAUUUAUUUCUCUCUUAAUUUCUCAAAAUUUCCUCAGCUUUAGAAUCUGAAAAGCUUCCUAUUUAUAAGUGGAUCCUAAAAGGUCUAUGACUCUUGUUUCUAGUUGUGGUUUUUGUUUUGUUUUGUUUUGUAGUCUCCAUGCCCAGCAUGGAGCCCAACAUGGGGCUUUAACUCAAGACCCUGAGUUGAAGACCUGAGCUGAGGUCAAAAGUUGGACACUUAACUGACUGAGCCACCCACUUCAGCUGCAAUCUUGAUUCUUGAUUAAAUGAUCAUUCAUAUAACCAUUCAUCAUUCACUUGAUAAAUGUUUAUUGGAUACUUGUUAUAUGCCAGGAACCUCCAAAAGUUAAGGGGAUAUAGUGUUUAGUAAGUCAGAUUUGGUUCCUGUACUCUCAGAGCUUAUGCAUUAGAGAGACAGAUGUUCGAUAUAUAACACAGACAUAAUGAGAGACAAUGACUGAGAAGACACAGAGAGCUAAGGGGCUAUAAAAAAUGGAACUUGACCUUGGGGCCAGGGAAGUAACUUUUGAAUUAGAGAUAGUCUUCAAAGCAAGACUAUCAUAAAGGAGUAAGAGUUAAAACAAAACAACAAACAAAAAGAAGUAGGAGUUAGCGAGGCAAAUAUUAUCCCAAACCAUGUCCACAGAUCCAUACUGUAAAAACUUUGCCUAUCAUUGCUGUACUUUUAAAAACAAAAUAAAAUUCGGCAUUCUGGAAAGUCACUUUUGGCUAUGACAAGAGCUCAAUAUGAAUACCACAGUGAUAUGGAACAUUCAUAUGCACUCCAGUUCUCAAAACUGAAUGCAGAUGAUGGUACAACUGAAUAGCAUCUUAUAAAAGAUAUGGUCUCUAUCUUUUUAAAAAGAAGUAGAACAUCUUGGAAUAUUAAGUAAAUACUGGAGUAUUCUCAGAGGGACAUAAAAUAAGCUUUCAGUGACCUGUUAAAAUUACUCUUUUAAUGGACCUCUAAGCAUUAUUCAAUUUUUUAUUAGUGAAUUAAUUCAAAGAGACAUUAUACAUUUAGGGAAAAAAAUCUUCUGAGAGCCAUUCUCCAAAAAGUAUCUCAUCAAGAACAUAAGAGAAGAGCUGUAGCAUCUCAUUAUAAAAUGACAGAACUUUUCUUUUUUUUAACUUGAACUAUAGUUGACAUAUAAUAUUAGAUUCAGGUGUACACAAAGCGAUUCAACAUUUAUAUAUAUUACAAAGUGAUCCACCACGAUAAAUCUAGCUACCAUUUGUCACCAAAGUUGUUACAAUAUCAUGACUAUAUUCCCUAUGCUGUACAUUAUAUCCCUGUGACUUAUUUAUUUUGUAACUAGAAAUUUGUACCUUCUGAUACCCAUCACCUAUUUCAUCCACCCCCCUCCCCACCCCCUCGCCUCUGGUAAACACCAGAUUGUUCUCUGUACCUAGAAAUCUCUUUUUGUUUUGUUUUUUUUAGAUUCCACAUGUAAGUGAAAUCAUGUGGUAUUUGUCUUUCUCUGUUUACUGCACUUGGCAUAAUACCUUCUAUUAUUAUCCAUGUUUUUACAAUUGGCAAGAUUUCAUUAUUUUUUAUGGCUGACGAAUAAUCCAUUGGAAUAUUUCAUUGUGUGUGUCUGUAUAUGUGUGUGUGUUUGUGUGUGUACAUAUAUCUUCUUUAUCCACUUACUGAUCACUGCACACUUAGGAUCCUCCCAUAUGUUGGCUACUAUAAAUAAUGCUUCAAUGGACACAGGGGUGCACAUACCUUUUCAAAUUAGUAUUUUCAUUUUCUUUAGAUAAAUAUCCAGAAGUGGAAUUGUUGUUGUAUUUUUACUUUUUUGAGGAGCCUCCAUAUUGUUUUCCCUAGUGUCUAUAUCAUUUUACAUUCCCACUAACAGUGUAUGAGGGUUCCCUCUUAUCCACAUCCUUGCCACCCACUUGUUAUUUUCUUGUCUUUUUGGUAAUAGCCAUUCUGACAGGUGUGAGGUAUCUCACUGUGUGUUUUUUUUUAAGACUUUAUUUUAUUUAUUUGAGAGAAAGAAACAAUGCCCAUGCAAGCACUCAGAGUGGGGGUAAAGGGCAGAGGGAGACAGAAUGAGAAUCUGAAGCAAACUCCACAUUGAGCACAGAGCUCAAUGCAG